Molecule: ribosomal RNA, 515 nt
Filed under: uncultured bacterium
Lineage: Bacteria
Description: partial 16S ribosomal RNA
Rfam family: Bacterial small subunit ribosomal RNA
Source: RNAcentral
GAUGAACGCUGGCGGCGUGCCUAAUACAUGCAAGUCGAGCGAAUGGAUUAAGAGCUUGCUCUUAUGAAGUUAGCGGCGGACGGGUGAGUAACACGUGGGUAACCUGCCCAUAAGACUGGGAUAACUCCGGGAAACCGGGGCUAAUACCGGAUAACAUUUUGAACCGCAUGGUUCGAAAUUGAAAGGCGGCUUCGGCUGUCACUUAUGGAUGGACCCGCGUCGCAUUAGCUAGUUGGUGAGGUAACGGCUCACCAAGGGAACGAUGCGUAGCCGAGCUGGGGCGGGGAACGGCCACCAUGGGACUGAGCACCGGCCCAGACUCCUACGGGAGGCAGCAUUAGGGAAUCUUCCGCAAUGGACGAAAGUCUGACGGAGCAACGCCGCGUGAGUGACGAAGGCUUUCGGGUCGUAAAACUCUGUUGUUAGGGAAGAACAAGUGCUAGUUGAAUAAGCUGGCACCUUGACGGUACCUAACCAGAAAGCCACGGCUAACUACGUGCCAGCAGCCGCCGUAA